This 836-nucleotide ribosomal RNA is filed under the name uncultured Zetaproteobacteria bacterium. RNAcentral's name for it is "bacterial SSU rRNA". It matches the Rfam family "Bacterial small subunit ribosomal RNA", at positions 44 to 874 of the family's 1533-position model. Lineage: Bacteria; Pseudomonadati; Pseudomonadota; Candidatius Mariprofundia. The record is from RNAcentral.
GUGCCUAACACAUGCAAGUCGAACGGUAACAGUCCUUCGGGAGCUGACGAGUGGCGCACGGGUGAGUAACGCGUGGAUAUCUGCCUAUUAGUGGGGGACAACUACGGGAAACCGUAGCUAAUACCGCAUAAUCUCUACGGAGGAAAGCAGGGGACCUUUCGGGGCCUUGCGCUGAUAGAUGAGUCCGCGUCUGAUUAGCUAGUUGGUGGGGUAAUGGCCUACCAAGGCGAUGAUCAGUAACUGGUUUGAGAGGAUGAUCAGUCACACUGGAACUGAGACACGGUCCAGACUCCUACGGGAGGCAGCAGUGGGGAAUAUUGCACAAUGGGCGAAAGCCUGAUGCAGCGACGCCGCGUGCGGGAAGAAGGCCUUCGGGUUGUAAACCGCUUUCAAUUGGGAAGAAGAGAUGAGGGCUAAUAUCCCUCUGAUUUGACGGUACCUUUAGAAGAAGCACCGGCUAAUUUCGUGCCAGCAGCCGCGGUAAUACGAAAGGUGCAAGCGUUGUUCGGAUUUACUGGGCGUAAAGAGAUCGUAGGUGGUUUAUUAAGUCGGAUGUGAAAUCCCGGGGCUCAACCCCGGAACUGCAUUCGAUACUGAUAGGCUAGAGUUUGGGAGGGGUAAGCGGAAUUCCGUGUGUAGCAGUGAAAUGCGUAGAUAUACGGAGGAACACCUGAGGCGAAGGCGGCUUACUGGACCAAUACUGACACUGAGGAUCGAAAGCGUGGGUAGCAAACAGGAUUAGAUACCCUGGUAGUCCACGCCCUAAACGAUGUCAACUAGCCGUAGCGGGUAUCGACCCCUGCUGUGGCGAAGCUAACGCGAUAAGUUGACCGCCU